CCUACGGGAGGCAGCAGUGAGGAAUAUUGGUCAAUGGGCGCUAGCCUGAACCAGCCAAGUAGCGUGAAGGAUGACUGCCCUAUGGGUUGUAAACUUCUUUUAUAUGGGAAUAAAGUGCAGUAUGUAUACUGCUUUGCAUGUACCUUAUGAAUAAGGAUCGGCUAACUCCGUGCCAGCAGCCGCGGUAAUACGGAGGAUCCGAGCGUUAUCCGGAUUUAUUGGGUUUAAAGGGAGCGUAGGCGGGUUGUUAAGUCAGUUGUGAAAGUUUGCGGCUCAACCGUAAAAUUGCAGUUGAUACUGGCAUCCUUGAGUACAGUAGAGGUAGGCGGAAUUCGUGGUGUAGCGGUGAAAUGCUUAGAUAUCACGAAGAACUCCGAUUGCGAAGGCAGCCUGCUGGACUGUAACUGACGCUGAUGCUCGAAAGUGUGGGUAUCAAACA
This 439-nucleotide ribosomal RNA is filed under the name uncultured bacterium. RNAcentral's name for it is "bacterial SSU rRNA". It matches the Rfam family "Bacterial small subunit ribosomal RNA", at positions 338 to 774 of the family's 1533-position model. The record is from RNAcentral.